Molecule: small nuclear RNA, 57 nt
Filed under: Fukomys damarensis (Damara mole-rat)
Lineage: Eukaryota; Metazoa; Chordata; Mammalia; Rodentia; Bathyergidae
Source: RNAcentral
GUCCUCACGUCAGCAGCACAUAUUCUAAAAUUGGAACGAUACAGAGAAGAUUAACAU